Long non-coding RNA from Papaver somniferum (opium poppy), 861 nucleotides. RefSeq lists it as uncharacterized. The record is from RefSeq and is a predicted model, not a curated record. NCBI's taxonomy places the organism in Eukaryota, Viridiplantae, Streptophyta, Magnoliopsida, Ranunculales, Papaveraceae. The transcript is spliced from 2 exons.
AACUUUUUCCAAAGUGUUCUGUUUUAGUUUUUUUUGACCGAGUUCUGUUUUAGUUCUGUAUAGUGCAUAUAGUGAUGAAAAUUAGCAAGUGUUUCAAGUUUAACCAAGCAUCAGAAAUUAGACUUUCUUCAACUGAUUCCUCUCUUUUCCACUCCUAUUGAUUAAAGAGAGAACCCAAAAUCACCGAGUCACUCUUUCUGCUACGCAGCUUCAUUAGUACAACUACUUCUCUCAAGAAGAAUCUGGGGUCUCAGAAUUUCAUCUAGUUAUCAUCCACGGAGAUAAUGUUUCUCUUUAGUAAUCUAAGCAUCGUAAAUUACUUUCUUGGUAUAUAUAACAACAUCGCCUUUUUUUUCUUUUUUUUUGUCAUUGGUGUCCCCGUCGUUGGGGAGUUUCUUACAGUGGGAGUUUCUUUAGUCUCUUUAGUAAUCUAAGCAUCGAAUUCUUCGACGAAAAAAUUGCAGUUUCAGAGAUUUUAUUUUAUUUUUAAAGAAACGUUCAAACAAAUUUUAAUAUAAUUCUAAUUAGUAAAACAAAAUUGAAUUAAGUUGAUAAAAUAAAAUAAAAAAAAUCUUAUAUUCAAAUCCUUAGAGAUUCUCAACACCAACUCUCUCUCAAACUAUCACUCGCUAGCUAAAGUAGUUACAAUCCUAAACUCAAAAGGCAACAUACUCCGAAUAUAAAAAUGACGAGCAAAAAAAAAAAAAAGAAAAAACAAGGCUCAAAUAAUCCUCAAAACCACUAACUACAAUUCUCAAGUGUGAAGAACCUCAUUCCCAAACGAAAGGAAUUUGCUAUUAAAAUAAGAAAGGUUCAAGGUAUGGAGCUAAGAAAACUAAAAUAUCUUUUCAACUAUUAAAA